GGGGACCUGCGGAGGGAUCAUUACACAACAAAAUAUGAAGGCCUGGCUUCGCGGCCGGCUGAAAUAUUUUUUUCACCCAUGUCUUUUGCGCACUUGUUGUUUCCUGGGCGGGUUCGCCCGCCACCAGGACCAAACCAUAAACCUUUUUUUUAUGCAGUUGCAAUCAGCGUCAGUAAAAACAAUGUAAUUAUUACAACUUUCAACAACGGAUCUCUUGGUUCUGGCAUCGAUGAAGAACGCAGCGAAAUGCGAUACGUAGUGUGAAUUGCAGAAUUCAGUGAAUCAUCGAAUCUUUGAACGCACAUUGCGCCCUUUGGUAUUCCAAAGGGCAUGCCUGUUCGAGCGUCAUUUGUACCUUCAAGCUUUGCUUGGUGUUGGGCGUUUUUUGUCUCCCUCUUUCUGGGAGACUCGCCUUAAAACGAUUGGCAGCCGGCCUACUGGUUUCGGAGCGCAGCACAUAUUUUGCGCUUUGUAUCAGGAGAAAAGGACGGUAAUCCAUCAAGACUCUACAUUUUUAACUUUUGACCUCGGAUCAGGUAGGGAUACCCGCUGAACUUAAGCAUAUCAAAAGG
RNAcentral lists this ribosomal RNA (572 nucleotides) under Bipolaris sorokiniana. RNAcentral's name for it is "eukaryotic LSU rRNA". The stretch from base 195 to 348 matches the Rfam family "5.8S ribosomal RNA". Lineage: Eukaryota; Fungi; Ascomycota; Dothideomycetes; Pleosporales; Pleosporaceae. The record is from RNAcentral.